Macaca mulatta (Rhesus monkey) is the source of this 770-nucleotide non-coding RNA. The record is from RefSeq and is a predicted model, not a curated record. Lineage: Eukaryota; Metazoa; Chordata; Mammalia; Primates; Cercopithecidae.
CAUUCCUUAACUCCCAUGUGUAGCUAUACACAGAAUGGGAUUUUACAUAUGCUGGACAGAAAUAAGAGAAUCAAGCCCCGACCAGAAGGUUCCAGAACUGCAAAGACCUGUUUGAUCUGAUCCUCACUUGCGAAGAGAGAGUGUAUGACCAGGUGGUGGAAGAUCUGAAUUCCAGAGAACAGGAGACCUGCCAGCCUGUGCACGUGGUCAAUGUGGACAUCCAGGACAACCACGAGGAGGCCACCCUAGGGGCAUUUCUCAUCUGUGAGCUCUGCCAGUGUAUCCAGCACACGGAAGACAUGGAGAACGAGAUUGACGAGCUGCUGCAGGAGUUUGAGGAGAAGAGUGGCCGCACCUUUCUGCACACCGUCUGCUUCUACUGAGCCCAGCGCCCGCCUGGAGCCGCCUCUGGAGCUUCCUGUUCAUACUUUUUCCUUCCUGACAUUGGUUUUUACUUACAGGUGUUCCGCUGGUGACGGUAGCAUUGCCCAAAUAAAACUGUGCAUAUGAAAUGGGAGAGGAGAUGCCAGAAGGCCAGAUUAAAGCAAUCAAGUUUUUUCUUUCCCACUUUUACUUAUGAGCGGGAUAUUGAUUAUAAAGUUUUCUUCUUUAACCAGAAAGGAAAGACGGUUUGUGUGCACUUCCCGACGUACCUGUGUCUCCAUGUGCCUGCCUUCCCUCCCUCCUCCCCACCCGGCUGGACUGUACACAGCCCUGCUGCGGCGUGUUGGGAAUGACCUGGAAUUGUCAAUAAACAGAUGCUGCUGUCA